AUCUAAAAAUAAUUACUCAAUCAAAUUGAGUUAAUUAGCAAUCAAAUCACUAAUUAAACCUCUCAUAAAUAUUGAGUCCAAAUCCGAUGAGUAAUCGGGCAUCAGAAUUCAUCGAUAUGUAGCCCUGAUCGAAGAGUCCCAAACUAAUGGGACUCUUGACCCCGGUACCCAAAAUGUGUGGGACUCAUGAUCAGAGAAUCUUGAUUCUCGAUCACAGAGUCUCAGACACGUAGGACUCAUAGUC
This 244-nucleotide long non-coding RNA is filed under the name Elaeis guineensis (African oil palm). RNAcentral describes it as "long non-coding RNA (EGUI_LNC058840)". The record is from RNAcentral. Lineage: Eukaryota; Viridiplantae; Streptophyta; Magnoliopsida; Arecales; Arecaceae.